GCAACCCCGAGUAAAGUGGCGUACGGGUGAGUAACACGUAGGCAAUCUACCUCAGAGUCCGGAAUAACCUGCCGAAAGGCGGGCUAAUACGGGAUAGAGCGACGGAAUCCGUAAUUGGGUUUUUCGGGAAAGGGAGGAAGCAAUUCCCCUCGCUCUGGGAUGAGCCUGCGUCCCAUCAGCUAGUUGGUAAGGUAACGGCUUACCAAGGCGAUGACGGGUAGCUGGUCUGAGAGGAUGAUCAGCCACACUGGAACUGAAACACGGUCCAGACUCCUACGGGAGGCAGCAGUGGGGAAUCUUGCGCAAUGGACGAAAGUCUGACGCAGCCACGCCGCGUGAGUGAAGAAGGCCUUCGGGUUGUAAAGCUCUGUCGGGCGGGACGAAAAUGCUUGGGGUGAAUAGCCUCAGGAACUGACGGUACCGCCAAAGGAAGCACCGGCUAACUUCGUGCCAGCAGCCGCGGUAAUACGAGGGGUGCAAGCGUUGCUCGGAAUUAUUGGGCGUAAAGGGGAGGUAGGUGGUCUCAUUUGUCUGGGGUGAAAGCCUUGAGCUUAACUCAAGAAGUGCCCCGGAAACGGUGAGACUGGAGUGCCGGAGAGGGUCGUGGAAUUCCCGGUGUAGCGGUGAAAUGCGUAGAGAUCGGGAGGAACACCCGAGGCGAAGGCGGCGACCUGGACGGUGACUGACACUCAACUCCGAAAGCGUGGGGAGCAAACAGGAUUAGAUACCCUGGUAGUCCACGCCGUAAACGAUGGGUACUAGGUUUGGUGGGUCUUGACCCCCGCCGAACCGGAGCUAACGCACUAAGUACCCCGCCUGGGAAGUACGGUCGCAAGACUAAAAC
Molecule: ribosomal RNA, 844 nt
Filed under: uncultured Pseudomonadota bacterium
Lineage: Bacteria; Pseudomonadati; Pseudomonadota
Description: bacterial SSU rRNA
Rfam family: Bacterial small subunit ribosomal RNA
Source: RNAcentral